RNAcentral lists this ribosomal RNA (402 nucleotides) under uncultured bacterium. Its description in RNAcentral is "bacterial SSU rRNA". It matches the Rfam family "Bacterial small subunit ribosomal RNA", at positions 975 to 1375 of the family's 1533-position model. The record is from RNAcentral.
CAACCUUUGACAUGUCCAGUAUGGGUCUAGGAGACUAGAUCCUUCAGUUCGGCUGGCUGGAACACAGGUGCUGCAUGGCUGUCGUCAGCUCGUGUCGUGAGAUGUUGGGUUAAGUCCCGCAACGAGCGCAACCCUCAUCUUCAGUUGCUACCAUUUAGUUGGGCACUCUGAAGAAACCGCCGGUGACAAGCCGGAGGAAGGUGGGGAUGACGUCAAGUCCUCAUGGCCCUUACAGGUUGGGCUACACACGUACUACAAUGGUGGUGACAGUGGGUUGCGAAGUCGCGAGACGGAGCCAAUCCCCAAAAACCAUCUCAGUUCAGAUUGCACUCUGCAACUCGAGUGCAUGAAGUUGGAAUCGCUAGUAAUCGCAGAUCAGCACGCUGCGGUGAAUACGUUCCC